This 153-nucleotide long non-coding RNA is filed under the name Apteryx owenii (little spotted kiwi). RNAcentral describes it as "lncRNA (ENSAOWG00000013727.1)". Lineage: Eukaryota; Metazoa; Chordata; Aves; Apterygiformes; Apterygidae. The record is from RNAcentral.
GUUUUGAAACAGAUAAAAUACUUAUAAUGAAUGUCUCUCCAAAACAGGACCAUUUGGGCUAAGAAGAUGAGAUCUUCAGUCUCACUAGAGGAGAUGAAAUCCUUACUUCUGUUCAAGUAUUCAGCACAUACAGAACACAAAUCACGGAGCUAA